RNAcentral lists this ribosomal RNA (253 nucleotides) under uncultured bacterium. Its description in RNAcentral is "partial 16S ribosomal RNA". It matches the Rfam family "Bacterial small subunit ribosomal RNA", at positions 524 to 776 of the family's 1533-position model. The record is from RNAcentral.
UACGGGGGGGGCAAGCGUUGUUCGGAAUUACUGGGCGUAAAGGGCUCGUAGGCGGCCAACUAAGUCGGAUGUGAAAUCCCCAGGCUUAACCUGGGAACUGCAUCCGAUACUGGAUGGCUUGAAUCCGGGAGAGGGAUGCGGAAUUCCAGGUGUAGCGGUGAAAUGCGUAGAUAUCUGGAGGAACACCGGUGGCGAAGGCGGGUAGCUGGGCCGACACUGACGCUGAGGCGCGAAAGCCAGGGGAGCGAACGGG